GACGAACGCUGGCGGCGUGCCUAAUACAUGCAAGUCGAACGCUUCUUUCCUCCCGAGUGCUUGCACUCAAUUGGAAAGAGGAGUGGCGGACGGGUGAGUAACACGUGGGUAACCUACCCAUCAGAGGGGGAUAACACUUGGAAACAGGUGCUAAUACCGCAUAACAGUUUAUGCCGCAUGGCAUAAGAGUGAAAGGCGCUUUCGGGUGUCGCUGAUGGAUGGACCCGCGGUGCAUUAGCUAGUUGGUGAGGUAACGGCUCACCAAGGCCACGAUGCAUAGCCGACCUGAGAGGGUGAUCGGCCACACUGGGACUGAGACACGGCCCAGACUCCUACGGGAGGCAGCAGUAGGAAAUCUUCGGCAAUGGACGAAAGUCUGACCGAGCAACGCCGCGUGAGUGAAGAAGGUUUUCGGAUCGUAAAACUCUGUUGUUAGAGAAGAACAAGGACGUUAGUAACUGAACGUCCCCUGACGGUAUCUAACCAGAAAGCCACGGCUAACUACGUG
This 508-nucleotide ribosomal RNA is filed under the name uncultured bacterium. RNAcentral's name for it is "partial 16S ribosomal RNA". It matches the Rfam family "Bacterial small subunit ribosomal RNA", at positions 28 to 507 of the family's 1533-position model. The record is from RNAcentral.